AAGGCAUAGCAGGUGGUUGCUCUAUAAAAUCUUUAAGAGAGGAAAGUCCGAGCUGCGGAGACAAGAUUCCAUUUAACAAAUGGCUGGCGUGAGCCAAGGGAAAGUGCAACAGAAAAUAAACCGCCUAUUGAGUAUCGAUCCAAAGAUAUUUUAUGGCAAGGGUGAAAAGGUGGGGUAAGAGCCCACCGAGAUCUGAGUAAUCAGGUCUGCUUGUGUAAACCCAAUCAGCAGCAAGAAGAGCAAGGUUAAAGUCUCAUUUUAGCUCUUCGCUUGAGGUGUGUUGUGAAACAUAUCCCAGAUAAAUAACCAUCCCAGACAGAACUCGGCUUAUCGCUAUGCCUAUGGC
RNAcentral lists this RNase P RNA (346 nucleotides) under Helicobacter sp. 12S02634-8. RNAcentral describes it as "RNase P RNA component class A". It matches the Rfam family "Bacterial RNase P class A". From Rfam's summary of the family: Ribonuclease P (RNase P) is a ubiquitous endoribonuclease, found in archaea, bacteria and eukarya as well as chloroplasts and mitochondria. Lineage: Bacteria; Pseudomonadati; Campylobacterota; Epsilonproteobacteria; Campylobacterales; Helicobacteraceae. The record is from RNAcentral.